UAGUGCCUACGGGACGCAGCAGUGGGGGAUAUUGCACAAUGGGGGAAACCCUGAUGCAGCGACGCCGCGUGGGUGAAGAAGCGCCUCGGCGCGUAAAGCCCUGUCAGCAGGGAAGAAAAUGACGGUACCUGAAGAAGAAGCCCCGGCUAACUACGUGCCAGCAGCCGCGGUAAUACGUAGGGGGCAAGCGUUAUCCGGAUUUACUGGGUGUAAAGGGUGCGUAGGCGGCCCUGCAAGUCAGAAGUGAAAUCCAUGGGCUUAACCCGUGAACUGCUUUUGAAACUGCAGGACUUGAGUGGAUUAGG
This 305-nucleotide ribosomal RNA is filed under the name uncultured bacterium. RNAcentral describes it as "bacterial SSU rRNA". It matches the Rfam family "Bacterial small subunit ribosomal RNA", at positions 334 to 655 of the family's 1533-position model. The record is from RNAcentral.